GUAGUCGUAUUCACAUCAAUCUAUAUAUGUUGAGGUGGAUUGGAGUGGAAUUUGAACUAAAUUCCACUCCAAUCCACACCAACACACAUGGAUUGAAGUAAAUACGACA
MicroRNA precursor from Sorghum bicolor (sorghum), 109 nucleotides. It matches the Rfam family "MIR5565 microRNA precursor family". Lineage: Eukaryota; Viridiplantae; Streptophyta; Magnoliopsida; Poales; Poaceae. The record is from Rfam.